UCCUGUGUGGUUGAUUGUUGGACUGGUUUGUGGAGUCUGUCUCAUUAUUAUUCUCCUGCUCUUGUUGUAUUCCUGCAGAAGAACCAACAGUGCUGCUAAUGAGCAGACGCUCAAUCAGGAUGAAGAUCAGCAGCAAGUGUACUCCUCUCUUCUUCAUGGUGAUCGUUGUGUCUAUGAGACGGUCAGAAGAUGUGAAAACACUGAAAAUGGUAAAGUUUACACUUUCA
Molecule: long non-coding RNA, 227 nt
Organism: Oreochromis niloticus (Nile tilapia)
Lineage: Eukaryota; Metazoa; Chordata; Actinopteri; Cichliformes; Cichlidae
Exons: 3
Source: RefSeq, a predicted model, not a curated record